RNAcentral lists this long non-coding RNA (219 nucleotides) under Lathyrus oleraceus (garden pea). Its description in RNAcentral is "Pisum sativum (pea) long non-coding RNA (PSAT_LNC003921)". The record is from RNAcentral. Lineage: Eukaryota; Viridiplantae; Streptophyta; Magnoliopsida; Fabales; Fabaceae.
AAAAUGGCACUUGAAAGAGUUGAAAAUGGAGGUAACAAAUAAAGAAGAUGACUUAGAGGAUGCAUUAUACCAAGAAAUGUUUGACCUAAAGAAUAAUAGAGAUUGAUGAAAUGGAUGUUGCCAAAACUUAAAGAAGAAAUUAGAGUUUCUAGAAGAAAAUGAACUUGGGAUUUACGUAAAAGGUAAAAAAGAGUUUUUGAACCGCUAAGUGACCAUUAU